GAUGAACGCUGGCGGCGUGCCUAAUACAUGCAAGUCGAGCGAACGGACGAGAAGCUUGCUUCUCUGAUGUUAGCGGCGGACGGGUGAGUAACACGUGGAUAACCUACCUAUAAGACUGGGAUAACUUCGGGAAACCGGAGCUAAUACCGGAUAAUAUUUUGAACCGCAUGGUUCAAAAGUAAAAGACGGUCUUGCUGUCACUUAUAGAUGGAUCCGCGCUGCAUUAGCUAGUUGGUAAGGUAACGGCUUACCAAGGCAACGAUGCAUAGCCGACCUGAGAGGGUGAUCGGCCACACUGGAACAGAGACACGGUCCAGACUACUACGGGAGGCAGCAGUAGGGAAUCUUCCGCAAUGGGCGAAAGCCUGACGGAGCAACGCCGCGUGAGUGAUGAAGGUCUUCGGAUCGUAAAACUCUGUUAUUAGGGAAGAACAUAUGUGUAAGUAACUGUGCACAUCUUGACGGUACCUAAUCAGAAAGCCACGGCUAACUACGUG
RNAcentral lists this ribosomal RNA (497 nucleotides) under uncultured bacterium. RNAcentral describes it as "partial 16S ribosomal RNA". It matches the Rfam family "Bacterial small subunit ribosomal RNA", at positions 28 to 507 of the family's 1533-position model. The record is from RNAcentral.